AGCCCGCUCCUUAGAUCCACUGUCGGGGUCGCCACAGACCCGCUAGUCUUCGGACUGGUAUGAGGCAGUGCUUGAGUCAUUGGUGGGCUAGAGCAGCACACUGGCAUAGGCUCUGUGGGCUUGUAUAGCGAACGAC
Molecule: small nucleolar RNA, 136 nt
Organism: Hyalella azteca
Lineage: Eukaryota; Metazoa; Arthropoda; Malacostraca; Amphipoda; Hyalellidae
Product: small nucleolar RNA SNORA53
Exons: 1
Source: RefSeq, a predicted model, not a curated record